Molecule: transfer RNA, 73 nt
Filed under: Podarcis lilfordi (Lilford's wall lizard)
Lineage: Eukaryota; Metazoa; Chordata; Lepidosauria; Squamata; Lacertidae
Description: tRNA.Asn
Rfam family: tRNA (bases 5-67)
About the family: Transfer RNA (tRNA) molecules are approximately 80 nucleotides in length.
Source: RNAcentral
ACCCUGUGGCACAAUGGGUCAGUGCAUCUGGCUGUUAACCAGAAGGUUGAUGGCUCAAGCCCACCCAUGGAUG